UACGUAGGGUGCAAGCGUUGUCCGGAAUUAUUGGGCGUAAAGAGCUCGUAGGUGGUCUGUCGCGUCGGCUGUGAAAACUCGGGGCUCAACCCCGAGCCUGCAGUCGAUACGGGCAGACUCGAGUGCGGUAGGGGAGACUGGAAUUCCUGGUGUAGCGGUGAAAUGCGCAGAUAUCAGGAGGAACACCGGCGGCGAAGGCGGGUCUCUGGGCCGUAACUGACACUGAGGAGCGAAAGCGUGGGGAGCGAACAGG
RNAcentral lists this ribosomal RNA (253 nucleotides) under uncultured bacterium. RNAcentral's name for it is "partial 16S ribosomal RNA". It matches the Rfam family "Bacterial small subunit ribosomal RNA", at positions 524 to 776 of the family's 1533-position model. The record is from RNAcentral.